UGUAGCUCAGUAGAGUGCUUGCCUAGGAAGCAUGAAGCCCUGGGUUCAAUCCCCAGCA
Molecule: transfer RNA, 58 nt
Filed under: Mus musculus (house mouse)
Lineage: Eukaryota; Metazoa; Chordata; Mammalia; Rodentia; Muridae
Also listed under: 1 other name
Rfam family: tRNA
About the family: Transfer RNA (tRNA) molecules are approximately 80 nucleotides in length. Their secondary structure includes four short double-helical elements and three loops (D, anti-codon, and T loops). Further hydrogen bonds mediate the characteristic L-shaped molecular structure. tRNAs have two regions of fundamental functional importance: the anti-codon, which is responsible for specific mRNA codon recognition, and the 3' end, to which the tRNAs corresponding amino acid is attached (by aminoacyl-tRNA synthetases). tRNAs cope with the degeneracy of the genetic code in two manners: having more than one tRNA (with a specific anti-codon) for a particular amino acid; and 'wobble' base-pairing, i.e. permitting non-standard base-pairing at the 3rd anti-codon position.
Source: Rfam by way of RNAcentral